This 117-nucleotide non-coding RNA is filed under the name Nomascus leucogenys (northern white-cheeked gibbon). Lineage: Eukaryota; Metazoa; Chordata; Mammalia; Primates; Hylobatidae. The record is from Rfam by way of RNAcentral.
GCCGGGCAUGGUGGCUCACGCCUGUAAUCCCAGCAUUUUGGGAGGCUGAGACGGGUGGAUCACCUGAGGUCAGGAGUUCGAGACCAGCCUGGCCAACAUGGUGAAACCCCGUCUCUA